This 1379-nucleotide long non-coding RNA is filed under the name Mytilus galloprovincialis (Mediterranean mussel). The record is from RNAcentral. Lineage: Eukaryota; Metazoa; Mollusca; Bivalvia; Mytilida; Mytilidae.
UGUUAAUGCGAUAAUUGCAGUAUAAAACUACAUUUAUAUGUAGGACUAUCAACAUAAAAUCAGUGGUCAGUUUAGUAGGCGAAAUAUUUCACUGUUUUACUUGAAGUUAAUUUGUUUUGUUUUUAAAACUUAAUCCAGUAAUCUUCAUACAGGGAAGAUAUUCCUCAGCUUUCACACAUCAUUUUCUUUUUAUCCAACAUCUAAAGUCCUGGCGAGCGAGUACACACUUGAUCUCUUUAAGGCAACAACUAGAGGAUCUGGCUCACCUUGAUUUAUGAGCAUGUAAAACAAUGGACACAGAUAAAUUAAUGACAAAUUGGUGUUUUGGUGAUGUGUUUGUAGAUACUUUACUUAACAUUAUUGCUGUUUUAUAGUUUAUCUCCAUCUCUAAUAAUAUUCAAGAUGAUAUCCAAAAUCUGCAAAAUUUCCUUAAAAUUACUAAUUCUGGGGCAGCAGCUCAACAGCGGGUUGUCCGAUUUGUCUGAAAUUUUCAGGGCAGAUAGAUCUCGACACCUAAUAAACAAUUUCACCCCAUGUCAGAUUUGCUCUUAAUGCUUUGGUUUCAGAAAUAUAGGCCAAAAUCUACAUUUUAUGCUUUUACCCAUGGCGGCCAUCUUGGUUGGUUGGCCGGGUCAUCGGACACAUUUUUUAAACAAGAUACCCCAAUGAUGAUUGUUGCCAAGUUUGGUUAAUUUGUCCCAGUAGUUUCAGAGGAUUAGAUUAUUGUAAAAUUGAGGGACGGACGACGAGUGAUAAAAAGGCACCUCUUAAAGGUAGAUUGUCCCGAUAGCUUUCUCUGCCAAUUGUGAAGUUUUCUGAAACAGAACAAGAACUUACAAGUCCUCAUAUGCUAAUUAACUUCCACAAGAGGCGACAUUUACACUUCAAGCAAAAGCCCAUUUUAAGAAAAUACUUCUAGCUUUCUUGGAUCUUUGCUAGUUUAGUUUAAACAUAUUUAUUUAUAAUGGAUUGGGAAACAAGUUUUGCAACUUAUAUUAAUCCCUUUCCACUUUUUGGGAGCUGGAACCAAAAGUUUUAUGGCUUAUGGUGUUUGCUAGUCUUCAAUGUACAGUUGUGUCAUCUAUUUGACUGAACUGGGAGCACACAUAGGUACCCUGGUAGUGAUGUUAACUUGAUCACUUCUUUUGCUAAAAUGUGCAAUGUAACUUGUUCAAGUUUCCAUCAACUUUAUAUUGAAAAUUCCAAGAAAUAAAAAAGAGGCUCUCAAGAGCCUGAAUCGCUCACCUGGUAAACAAUGCCUUAUUGAACAUAUUGAACCAUGCCAGGCAAACAUGUACAGCUAACAAUUCUUCAAUAUUAGAAAUACAAGUUCUACCAUGUUUACACGUUUCCUUCUAAUAUAAUAUGCAUACAAGAAG